UUUGGGUUAGGAUAGACUUAAUCUAUUAGCUUUAGGAGCUGGGGAUGCGCGGUAUGAGCGCGCUCAGUG
This 69-nucleotide transfer RNA is filed under the name Phallusia mammillata. Its description in RNAcentral is "transfer RNA-Leu (CUN)". The record is from RNAcentral. Lineage: Eukaryota; Metazoa; Chordata; Ascidiacea; Phlebobranchia; Ascidiidae.